GGGCUCAUAGCUCAGCUGGUCAGAGCGCCUGCCUUACAAGCAGGAUGUCGGGAGUUCGAGUCUCUCUGGGCCCA
RNAcentral lists this transfer RNA (74 nucleotides) under Borrelia sp. CA_690. Its description in RNAcentral is "tRNA-Val". It matches the Rfam family "tRNA". Rfam says of the family: Transfer RNA (tRNA) molecules are approximately 80 nucleotides in length. Their secondary structure includes four short double-helical elements and three loops (D, anti-codon, and T loops). The record is from RNAcentral. Lineage: Bacteria; Pseudomonadati; Spirochaetota; Spirochaetia; Spirochaetales; Borreliaceae. RNAcentral also lists the same sequence under 1 other name.